RNAcentral lists this long non-coding RNA (647 nucleotides) under Salvia miltiorrhiza (redroot sage). RNAcentral's name for it is "long non-coding RNA (SMIL_LNC008633)". The record is from RNAcentral. Lineage: Eukaryota; Viridiplantae; Streptophyta; Magnoliopsida; Lamiales; Lamiaceae.
UUUUCAUGUCUUGACCACUUUGUUCAGUUUGAAUUUGUGUCGGUUGAUCCUCGAGCAUAACUACCUUGGCGUCUAGAGUUUUGUUGAGCAAUUCAAAGUACGUAAACUCACCGUGGUUGGCGAGUGCCAUUCUUAUCUCAUACUUUAGGCCAAGGCGAAACUUCUUCGGGAGUUUUUUUUUUUUUUCAUUGGUGUCCACCUAUUGUGGGGCAUAACGGACAUGCCACAACAAAUGUGGUCAUACUCGGUCAUAGAUAUCCUGUUUUGCUUUAGAUUGAACAUUUUCGUUUCUCUCCUCCUAUCGCAGAUAUAAAAAAAAAUAUAUGUAAUAUGUGUCCGUCUUAAAGUCUUUCUAAGACAAGUUUGCUAACCACAUUCUUGAGUCAUUGCUUUUCUUUUGGCCUCCCACCAAAAUCUGUAGAUCUAGUCAACUGGAACGCAACACAUGAAGUCUUUCUUGUGCGGUACAAAGAAAAUCAAAGGUUUUCUUCAUCGUCUUAAUCUAGAGUUUACCCUCAACUGGAUUCUUGGUUUCAUAGCUAUAACAAGCUUUACUCGAGAAAAAGUUCAUCCAUCUUUCGUAAUGGUUCAUUUUUGUCCCCAUCUCGUUUCUAGCUUCUCAUCUACCAGACAUUCUAUUUUUCAAA